Molecule: long non-coding RNA, 721 nt
Filed under: Brassica napus (rape)
Lineage: Eukaryota; Viridiplantae; Streptophyta; Magnoliopsida; Brassicales; Brassicaceae
Description: long non-coding RNA (BNAP_LNC003339)
Source: RNAcentral
AUAAAGAGAGCAAUGUCUCAUCAUGAGAGAUAAUAAGUUUACUUAUUGAUGCGAGUAGGAAUGUUCUCUGAUGACAAAAUCACAACAGGUACUUCCUUAAGAUUCGAAGAUUCCCGUCAAUAACAUAAACAAAAAAAACAUAGAAACCAGCAAAAAAAUGUUAAUCUCUGAAUUUUCUCAAAAAGACUCAUGAUUCCUAAUAAGAAAAUUUUAAACACCUUUACUAUCUUGAGAAGCUCAAAACCUGUCAUCCCUGGCAUACAAUAAUCAGUGAUGAUAAGAUUCACCUUCAUAACCUGUAAAAAAUGUAACAAAACUCAUAGGAUUUACACAUAAGUCUGGGUAUUAAAUAACUAGAAGGUUAAGCUUACACUGUUGGUAGUUAAUGACUCAGUCUGUUGUGGAUCUCCCAAGCCUAAGUACUCCAAUGCUCUAAGCCCAUUUUCUGCUGUUGUCACUGCAAAAAAGAAUCAAUUAUUACAUUUCAGAGGUAAUCUUGGUUCUAAUUUUAAAAGGUAACAAAAAAUGAUAUAACUUGCCUUUGCAGGAAGAGAUCUUGAGAAUUCUCUCUACGAGUUUACGGUCAAUGAGAUUGUCAUCUACUGCUAAAACAUGAAGCUCUUCGUCCAUUGAUGCUUUGUGCAGCGAAGUAACUGAGAAACCUAAAGAAGGCAGAGACAAACGUACAGAUGAAGAAGAAAGGGACAAUUGACAAAUCGAG